This 1113-nucleotide long non-coding RNA is filed under the name Oncorhynchus mykiss (rainbow trout). Its description in RNAcentral is "lncRNA (ENSOMYG00000055357.1)". Lineage: Eukaryota; Metazoa; Chordata; Actinopteri; Salmoniformes; Salmonidae. The record is from RNAcentral.
AUGAAACAACAAGGGCCAAAGCCAACCGACGCAAACAUUCCCAGCGACAUCAUCCGCAAUAUUCCCAGUCCAAAUCCCACAGUAUUCCCAGUCCAAAUCCCACAGUAUUCCCAGUCCAAAUCCCACAGUAUUCCCAGUCCAAAUCCCACAGUAUUCCCAGUCCAAAUCCCACAGUAUUCCCAGUCCAAAUCCCACAGUAUUCCCAGUCCAAAUCCCACAGUAUUCCCAGUCCAAAUCCCACAACCACCUUUUCUAAUACCUCUUCACAUGUUCCAAGUCCACUCCAUCGUCCAUCCAACCAAAGUCCAACUACCAAGUGUCCCAGGCAGACUUCUUAACAUUUCACUCCAACUACCAAGUGUCCCAGGCAGACUUCUUAACAUUUCACUCCAACUACCAAGUGUCCCAGGCAGACUUCUUAACAUUUCAGUCCAACUACCAAGUGUCCCAGGCAGACUUCUUAACAUUUCACUCCAACUACCAAGUGUCCCAGGCAGACUUCUUAACAUUUCACUCCAACUACCAAGUGUCCCAGGCAGACUUCUUAACAUUUCACUCCAACUACCAAGUGUCCCAGGCAGACUUCUUAACAUUUCACUCCAACUACCAAGUGUCCCAGGUAGACUUCUUAACAUUUCACUCCAACUACCAAGUGUCCCAGGCAGACUUCUUAACAUUUCACUCCAACUACCAAGUGUCCCAGGCAGACUUCUUAACAUUUCACUCCAACUACCAAGUGUCCCAGGCAGACUUCUUAACAUUUCACUCCAACUACCAAGUGUCCCAGGCAGACUUCUUAACAUUUCACUCCAACUACCAAGUGUCCCAGGUAGACUUCUUAACAUUUCACUCCAACUACCAAGUGUCCCAGGCAGACUUCUUAACAUUUCACUCCAACUACCAAGUGUCCCAGGUAGACUUCUUAACAUUUCACUCCAACUAUCAAGUGUCCCAGGCAGACUUCUUAACAUUUCACUCCAACUACCAAGUGUCCCAGGUAGACUUCUUAACAUUUCACUCCAACUACCACAUCUUUCUUUCCCAGGUUCCCUUUCCUCGGAUUCCAAGUCAGACGUGAACCACUGCCCUUCCCUUGUUUUAACACUGAGCUAA